GACGAACGCUGGCGGCGUGCCUAAUACAUGCAAGUUGAGCGCUGAAGGUUGGUACUUGUACCAACUGGAUGAGCAGCGAACGGGUGAGUAACGCGUGGGGAAUCUGCCUUUGAGCGGGGGACAACAUUUGGAAACGAAUGCUAAUACCGCAUAAAAACUUUAAACACAAGUUUUAAGUUUGAAAGAUGCAAUUGCAUCACUCAAAGAUGAUCCCGCGUUGUAUUAGCUAGUUGGUGAGGUAAAGGCUCACCAAGGCGAUGAUACAUAGCCGACCUGAGAGGGUGAUCGGCCACAUUGGGACUGAGACACGGCCCAAACUCCUACGGGAGGCAGCAGUAGGGAAUCUUCGGCAAUGGACGAAAGGCUGACCGAGCAACGCCGCGGGAGGGAAGAAGGUUUUCGGAUCGUAAAACUCUGUUGGUAGAGAAGAACGUUGGUGAGAGUGGAAAGCACAUCAAGUGACGGUAACUACCCAGAAAGGGACGGCUAACUACGUG
RNAcentral lists this ribosomal RNA (497 nucleotides) under uncultured bacterium. RNAcentral describes it as "partial 16S ribosomal RNA". It matches the Rfam family "Bacterial small subunit ribosomal RNA", at positions 28 to 507 of the family's 1533-position model. The record is from RNAcentral.